This 253-nucleotide ribosomal RNA is filed under the name uncultured bacterium. RNAcentral describes it as "partial 16S ribosomal RNA". It matches the Rfam family "Bacterial small subunit ribosomal RNA", at positions 524 to 776 of the family's 1533-position model. The record is from RNAcentral.
UACAGAGGGUGCGAGCGUUGUCCGGAUUUAUUGGGCGUAAAGAGCGUGUAGGCGGCCACACAGGUCUGCUGUGAAAACUCGAGGCUCAACCUCGAGCUGUCGGUGGAAACCGUGUGGCUAGAGUCCGGAAGAGGAGAGUGGAAUUCCCGGUGUAGCGGUGAAAUGCGCAGAUAUCGGGAAGAACACCAGCGGCGAAGGCGGCUCACUGGCCCGAUACUGACGCUGAGGCACGAAAGCGUGGGGAGCGAACAGG